RNAcentral lists this ribosomal RNA (627 nucleotides) under Triticum aestivum (bread wheat). RNAcentral describes it as "partial small subunit ribosomal RNA". The record is from RNAcentral. Lineage: Eukaryota; Viridiplantae; Streptophyta; Magnoliopsida; Poales; Poaceae.
AUGGGCGACUCGAGGAUACGGUCGUCUCGAGGAACGUUUCCCCAUCCUGGUAGGCUAUCUAGUACGACCUUUGAGCUCCUGAAGAAGGGCAUCAUUUGGCUAGUCGGCGAUGGCCAAAACAUUCUCAUUUGGCGCGAUUGGUGGAUCCCGAGAGAGCCCUCGCGCCAACCCAUCAUGCAGCAGGGUACAUGUCGCAUCAGGAGGGUGGCAGAGCUCCUGGAUGGAGGGGGCUCGUGGCGCAUGGAUCUUCUUCAGCUCUACUUCCUCCCGGCAGACGCCGACAUGAUCACAAGCACCCGAACAUCACCGCACAUAACAGAGGAUAUCAUCGCGUGGGCACCAAACAAGAACGAUACCACCACGAGCAAGGCACCGGAUGGUUGUGAAGAUCAUAUGGGGGUACCCUGCUCCCCUAAGGUAUGCAUCUUCGCAUGGAGAGUUGUGACCAAUUCACAUGCUACUCGGGCCAACAAAUUAUCACACCACCCUGCCUGUCGCCUGCGCGUGCCUUCUGGCAUUCGCACCACGCAGGACAACCGCAACCUCAAGCUCGAAUGGAUCGAGGUGCCGCGCGUCCCGGCCUCCCUGUCGGCGGAUGUGUCCGUUCAGAAGCUCCGCGACAACUAG